Molecule: long non-coding RNA, 2119 nt
Filed under: Anas platyrhynchos platyrhynchos (common mallard)
Lineage: Eukaryota; Metazoa; Chordata; Aves; Anseriformes; Anatidae
Description: lncRNA (ENSAPLG00000030599.1)
Source: RNAcentral
AUGUCAGGGUGGGGGACAGGUGUAUUCUGCAGUGAGCCACGUCCCAGGCUGUCCACCCCAGAGCCCCACCAGAGGGAAUGGUGGUCCUGCACAGCCUGGGACCCAGGUUUCCUUCCUAAAGACAGCAGAGUGACAGGGAAGGUAGUGACCGAGCUGACAGCACACCUUCCCUCAGCUGCCCAGAUCUCACCUGUGGCUGGGGCUGCCACGGGGCUUGCAGUGACACAGGGAAUCACCGUCCUGCCGAAGGCACACCCGUGUCAAAUCCCAGCGAGCAGAAAACCUCUGCUUCUGAGCAGACAGGUAAAUUUUAUCUCAAGACUCUACAAGAACAUCAGGGCUUCUGCCAGAGAUCUUCAACAGAUCUCUGUAUUCCUGUUUCAAUUUCUUCUUUUUUUUUUUUUUUUUUUAAUUAUUAUUAUUUUUCUUACCCCAACUCAUUUUGCUCCCACUUUUAACAGCAUUUCCUACAUUUUUCAAGAUGCGAUAGUCUGGCUUCCUGAUGACCUAUCACAAGACAAAGUUGGGUUGCUUAUCAGUGAAAGGUACCUUGUCAGCCAACUCAGGAGCAAUGUUAUAUCUAAACGGAAGCAGACAAAAAGCCAUGGGGAAUAGAAACCAAUGCUGCAAUGGUAUUAAAGAAGAGUCUGUUGUGUCAACAGGGACGUGGGGGAGGUGAAGUUGGAGGUUUUGGAGUUAGCUGUGGGCUUAGUGUAUAACUUAUUCUGUCUAACACUUGCCAUGAAAUAUCCUAACAAUACUCAGGCACUAGUGGUAGCAGAGAUAUUAUCACUUGGGGAGACAACAGAAAUGGCCUUAUCAUUUUGACAAUAGCUUUUUUCCCUUAUUAUCGCUAAGUAACAAUAUCUCUAUUUCACUGCGACUACUGAGCCAUUGUUUUUUGAUAAAUAGGGUCCUUUUUGUGAUUUCUUUUUUUCUCCACUUGUAUUUUAUCCUUUGUGUGUGUGCAUGUGAACAGACUUAAAAAAAAAAGAAAAAAAAAGUUCCACCAAAUGGUGCAAUAUUAAAGAUUACAUCUCUUAAAAGCCAAAGAAGCUGUCAGAGGGGGUAUCUGCUUGAAUGUACUGCCUGAUGUUAAGGGAUUUGUGGUGCACCUUGGCUCAAAGAAAGUCCAUUUUACCUGUAGGGUCUCUACACCUCUGCAUAUGUAAGAGCUAGAGUAGAUAAGAGAUGUUAGGUCCUAUUUGUUGGUAGGAUGUCAUAUUUCAUUAGAGAAUAUCCAUAACAAAAUAUGUACAUUUUGGCAUACAGUUCACCAUGUCCUCUGGUUCCCAUGUUAAGAAAGGCCCCGUCUCCUGCAGGUCUGUAUCUCAGGACCACUCACAUCUCUUGCCAACACCGACGAUUGCCUUCACCUCACCUUGCUCCCAAAAUGUCUCACCUGAUGGGACCAGGGCCCAUCGUUCCCCACCGCCUUGGUGAGCUGAAAGAACUGCACACCCUGAGCAGGAGUUGGGUCUGUGUGCAUCUCAGUCUAUUAGCUAUGGUGCAUGGUGACGUCUGGAAGCGUUCACACUCGAGUUAGCUGAAUAUAUCUCCUCAUUUAUCGCCACUUCUCUUUCUGUUCCUUUCUCCUGCCCAUCCCCAUGGUGUCCAAGCACCGCUGUCUACCUGACUUGCCACGAUUGUUACGGAUUAUCACCCACCUGGGCUACGAGCGUGCUCUGCCAUUAACCACUCAUCAUCCACCGUGGCUCUGUCUGGCUACUUCUUUCUUCUGAUACCAUCAGCUGCCACUGUCUGUUCUACGCACAAUAGAGAACCUUCCUACCCGAGCCCAUUGCUAUGGUUACAGGCAUCCUGCGGGCGGUGGGAUCAACGGGAGCCAUAAAUGAAGGUACUACUGCAGCAUUUGCAUAAAGGCUCCCUACCUGCUGGGGAACAUCCAUGUCCUCCAGAAUGACUCCCACGAGUUUCUGUCGCUGCUGCUGCAAAUUUGCAUGGAUGGACUGGGACAUCAGGGCUCAGUUUAUACUUCCUUGGCUUGAACUCACAGUAAGAACACUUUUUAUAGAGAAGAGAGAGAAAAUUUACCUUAGAAGAUGACAGUCCUCACCUCUCUUAGAUGUAAAAUAAUAAAGAAGAAGGUCAAUUUUCA